UACGUAGGUGGCGAGCGUUAUUCGGAUUCACUGGGCGUAAAGGGUCCGUAGGGGGUUUGCCAAGUCUGGUGUGAAAGCCCGCCGCUCAACGGCGGAACGGCACUGGAGACUGACGAACUCGAGUUCAUGAUGGGAGAGCGGAAUUCCUGGUGUAGCGGUGGAAUGCGUAGAUAUCAGGAGGAACACCCGCGGCGAAGGCGGCUCUCUGGCGUGAAACUGACCCUGAAGGACGAAAGCGUGGGUAGCAAACAGGAUUAGAUACC
RNAcentral lists this ribosomal RNA (263 nucleotides) under uncultured bacterium. RNAcentral describes it as "partial 16S ribosomal RNA". It matches the Rfam family "Bacterial small subunit ribosomal RNA", at positions 524 to 786 of the family's 1533-position model. The record is from RNAcentral.